This 1070-nucleotide ribosomal RNA is filed under the name Staphylococcus simiae. RNAcentral describes it as "partial 23S ribosomal RNA". It matches the Rfam family "Bacterial large subunit ribosomal RNA", at positions 1 to 1067 of the family's 2925-position model. The record is from RNAcentral. Lineage: Bacteria; Bacillati; Bacillota; Bacilli; Caryophanales; Staphylococcaceae.
GAUUAAGUUAUUAAGGGCGCACGGUGGAUGCCUUGGCACUAGAAGCCGAUGAAGGACGUUACUAACGACGAUAUGCUUUGGGUAGCUGUAAGUAAGCGUUGAUCCAGAGAUUUCCGAAUGGGGAACCCCAGCAUGAGUUAUGUCAUGUUAUCGAUAUGUGAAUACAUAGCAUAUCAGAAGGCACACCCGGAGAACUGAAACAUCUUAGUACCCGGAGGAAGAGAAAGAAAAAUCGAUUCCCUGAGUAGCGGCGAGCGAAACGGGAAGAGCCCAAACCAACAAGCUUGCUUGUUGGGGUUGUAGGACACUCUGUACGGAGUUACAAAGGACGAUAUUAGACGAAUCAUCUGGAAAGAUGAAUCAAAGAAGGUAACAAUCCUGUAGUUGAAAAUAUUGUCUCUCUUGAGUGGAUCCUGAGUACGACGGAGCACGUGAAAUUCCGUCGGAAUCUGGGAGGACCAUCUCCCAAGGCUAAAUACUCUCUAGUGACCGAUAGUGAACCAGUACCGUGAGGGAAAGGUGAAAAGCACCCCGGAAGGGGAGUGAAAUAGAACCUGAAACCGUGUGCUUACAAGUAGUCAGAGCCCGUUAAUGGGUGAUGGCGUGCCUUUUGUAGAAUGAACCGGCGAGUUACGAUUUGAUGCAAGGUUAAGCAGUAAAUGUGGAGCCGUAGCGAAAGCGAGUCUGAAUAGGGCGUUUAGUAUUUGGUCGUAGACCCGAAACCAGGUGAUCUACCCUUGGUCAGGUUGAAGUUCAGGUAACACUGAAUGGAGGACCGAACCGACUUACGUUGAAAAGUGAGCGGAUGAACUGAGGGUAGCGGAGAAAUUCCAAUCGAACCUGGAGAUAGCUGGUUCUCUCCGAAAUAGCUUUAGGGCUAGCCUCAAGUGAUGAUUAUUGGAGGUAGAGCACUGUUUGGACGAGGGGCCCUUCUCGGGUUACCGAAUUCAGACAAACUCCGAAUGCCAAUUAAUUUAACUUGGGAGUCAGAACAUGGGUGAUAAGGUCCGUGUUCGAAAGGGAAACAGCCCAGACCACCAGCUAAGGUCCCAAAAUAUAUGUUAAGUGGA